CUACCUUAAAUAGGGGAGUAGGAGAGAGUAUGAGCAUGACAACAGUCCAGAGAAAAAAGAAGGAAAUACAUCAAGGAAGCCAAAAAAGAAGAAGAACAAGAAACAAGGACAGCGUUUGAUCAGUCAUUGAUUGGUGAAAGGACGCAAUUAACUUAAUGGCAUCAGUGAUGAAAACACUGAAUGGGCCUUCAGUCUGUAGAGCAUGCAGGGAAGGAGUGUGGAAGCAUCUUCAGCGGCUUUUGAUUGAGCUACUGGAAUGGAAGGGUCAAGAGAAGGGGUCAGUCAUAUAAAUACAGUACCUGACGCAAGACCGUGGGCUCUCGAGCAUACGUUCCAUUCAAUGGCUUGUCACAAAGCGAUGCUGACUCUGAAACCUCUGGCUUCUCAAUGGCUGAAACAGUUUCCUGUGUAAUAGGCAACAUCUCUUCUGAAUUUUUUUUGCUUUAAUCACCGUGUCCUCUGCAACUGCUGCCUCAGUUUUCAACACCUCCUCAACAACAGAUGGUGGCUCUACUACACUGGACGCAUGAAGGGCCUCAGGAUGGGUCAGAGGUUCAUCUGAUCCAGCUUCAGUUAUUUCACUAUCAUCAGUGGCAGAUGCCUCUAGCGAGAUCAUCUGAGUGGACGAAGCUGAAUCGGUAAUGUCCUCGGAUGAGAGCACAAUCUGAACGGAGGCCAUCAACUGCAAUGACAGCUUCUCUGCAGCUUGCAUAUUUUCAGCAUCAAGGUCAGUGGAUGAUGGCAGAGAGACAAUGUCAGCAUCUUCAUUGGUUUCAUCAUGGACUACGCAAAAGGAGUCUAUCUCCUUUUAUGAGGGAUAAACAAGCAGAUUAAUCAAAAUGCCCUACUUCUGCACAAUGAUACAUUACUGGAUGGCCUUGAUGUAGCACAUGUAUGCAAUAGAAAAGGGGGUCAUAUUUGGAAGCAGCUACAUCUCACAUGAAAAUAAGCUUCAAUUAUAUACUGUAUGUACCUUUAUAAUGUAAUGACUAAUUAGAGUCACACCAUUUUUAAACCACUUAGGUUGGUACUUAUUUCAAUUAAAAUAUUGACCAUCAAUAACAAAAUCAUAUACAGUAUGUAUAUGUCAAUCAGAGACCACCCUUCACUUUUUCAACUUUCCAGACACAACAACUCAAUAUUUUCCAACUGUUUUGGUGAAUUUCACUUGUAUUCCUUCCCGCAAAAAGUGAAUUAUUUGAAAUCUGAUCUGCUUAGGAAAAUCUCCUGAAAAUAAAAAACUUGAAUGCAAAGGUUUUGUCUAGACAUUAAAUAAAUGAAGGGUGGUAUCUGACUUUUGCACAGUACUGUAGAUUGCACAUAUGAAUGGGCAAUCUACAGUACAAUAUAUGGGCUUUUUUUCAGCGCUCUUGGCUGGUCAGCACUGGAGUAGUUAUGUGUCAUUGAAGAAUGUUUCUCCUCUAGAAACUAUUAAAAAUAUAUAACAACAUUCUACAAAUAACUGAUGAUAAAAUGCCUCCAGUGAUUUCUUUUGAUUUACUU
Molecule: long non-coding RNA, 1503 nt
Organism: Pygocentrus nattereri (red-bellied piranha)
Lineage: Eukaryota; Metazoa; Chordata; Actinopteri; Characiformes; Serrasalmidae
Exons: 4
Source: RefSeq, a predicted model, not a curated record